RNAcentral lists this ribosomal RNA (206 nucleotides) under uncultured bacterium. RNAcentral's name for it is "partial 16S ribosomal RNA". It matches the Rfam family "Bacterial small subunit ribosomal RNA", at positions 568 to 773 of the family's 1533-position model. The record is from RNAcentral.
UGUGUAGGCGGUUCUUUAAGUUUGGUGUGAAAUCUCCCGGCUCAACUGGGAGGGUACGCCGAAUACUGAGGGACUAGAGUACGGGAGAGGAAAGUGGAAUUCCUGGUGUAGCGGUGAAAUGCGUAGAUAUCAGGAGGAACACCGGUGGUGUAGACGGCUUUCUGGACCGUAACUGACGCUGAGACACGAAAGCGUGGGUAGCAACA